RNAcentral lists this ribosomal RNA (246 nucleotides) under uncultured Peptostreptococcaceae bacterium. RNAcentral describes it as "partial 16S ribosomal RNA". It matches the Rfam family "Bacterial small subunit ribosomal RNA", at positions 796 to 1041 of the family's 1533-position model. The record is from RNAcentral. Lineage: Bacteria; Bacillati; Bacillota; Clostridia; Peptostreptococcales; Peptostreptococcaceae.
CACGCCGUAAACGAUGAGUACUAGGUGUUGGCCCGUCAAGGGUCGGUGCCGCAGUUAACACAUUAAGUACUCCGCCUGGGGAGUACGUUCGCAAGAAUGAAACUCAAAGGAAUUGACGGGGACCCGCACAAGUAGCGGAGCAUGUGGUUUAAUUCGAAGCAACGCGAAGAACCUUACCUAAGCUUGACAUCCCAUUGACCGCAGGGUAAUGCCUGCCUUCCCUUCGGGGACAAUGGAGACAGGUGG